GCCUUUUCAGUUGAGGACAGCGCUGGUCAUCGGAACAUGUCAGGCGGCUCCGCGGAUUAUAGCAGAGACCAUGGCGGCCCCGAGGGAAUGGAGCCCGAUGGUGUCAUUGAGAGCAAUUGGAAUGAGAUUGUCGACAAUUUUGAUGAUAUGAAUUUAAAAGAAUCCCUUCUAAGGGGCAUUUAUGCUUAUGGUUUUGAAAAGCCUUCGGCUAUUCAGCAGAGAGCUAUUAUUCCAUGUAUCAAAGGGUAUGAUGUGAUUGCUCAAGCUCAGUCAGGUACUGGCAAGACAGCCACAUUUGCUAUUUCCAUCCUGCAGCAGUUGGAGAUUGAUCUCAAGGAGACCCAAGCACUAGUAUUGGCCCCUACCAGAGAACUGGCUCAACAGAUUCAAAAGGUAAUUCUGGCCCUUGGAGAUUACAUGGGAGCAACAUGCCAUGCUUGCAUUGGUGGCACAAAUGUUCGCAAUGAAAUGCAGAAACUUCAGGCUGAAGCUCCACACAUUGUGGUUGGAACUCCGGGCCGUGUGUUUGAUAUGUUAAACAGACGCUACCUUUCACCUAAAUGGAUCAAAAUGUUUGUUCUGGAUGAAGCUGAUGAAAUGUUGAGCCGAGGAUUUAAGGAUCAAAUCUAUGAGAUCUUUCAAAAAUUAAGCACUAACAUUCAGGUUGUGCUGCUAUCAGCUACAAUGCCAAUGGAUGUGUUGGAAGUGACCAAAAAGUUCAUGAGGGAGCCCAUCCGGAUUCUAGUGAAGAAGGAAGAACUGACUCUGGAGGGUAUCAAGCAGUUCUACAUUAAUGUUGAAAGAGAGGAAUGGAAGCUGGAUACUCUCUGCGAUUUGUAUGAGACACUGACCAUUACUCAGGCUGUUAUCUUUCUGAAUACAAGGAGAAAAGUGGACUGGCUUACAGAAAAAAUGCAUGCCAGGGACUUCACAGUCUCAGCUCUGCAUGGUGACAUGGACCAGAAGGAGCGGGAUGUUAUCAUGAGAGAGUUUAGAUCAGGAUCAAGCCGUGUCUUGAUCACUACUGACUUGCUGGCUCGUGGCAUUGAUGUGCAGCAAGUUUCUUUGGUUAUAAAUUAUGACCUGCCGACCAAUCGUGAAAAUUACAUUCACAGGAGUCGAUAGCAGCAGUUGAUGACACAGGAUGGUGCUCAGAAACGGCGUUGACGUAAUUUAGGACGUGGAUUCGUAAGCGGCACAGUUUGAAUAAAGAGCGAGUCGAAUUGGCCGAGGCGGUCGUUUUGGCAGGAAGGGUGUGGCUAUAAACUUUGUCACUGAAGAGGACAAGAGGAUUCUGCGUGAUAUUGAGACAUUCUACAAUACUACAGUGGAGGAGAUGCCAAUGAAUGUGGCUGAUCUCAUUUAAUCCCUGGAGAGGAGAUGGUUUGAAUGCAGUGCUCGCUGUUGCUGAAUAGGCGAUUCACUUGCAUUGUGCUUCUUUCUUUGGGGAUAUAUUGAAUCUUGUCUCAAUGCUCAUAACGGAUCAGAAAUACAGAUUUUUGAUAAGCGAAGCGACUUUUUGUCGUGAGCUCUUGUGGGGAAAGCCAUUGGCUUUAUCCACUUUAGGGUUAGACUGUUGGGGUUGGGUGGAAAGUCAUGGGGUCUGUAAAUUUUUUCUUUAUUAGAAAUUUAUUUCCUAGUUCCAUAGAAGUGGUUGUAUUAGAUGUUCUUUAUCAUUUAAUAAUUUACUUAUGGACUAAAAGAUAUAAGUGCUGUAUAAAAUCAGCCAAUUAUGUUAAACUAGCCUACCUUCCUUUAUUGUAUGUACUUACCCUUCAGAUUGAAUUGGAAAGGCCUUUCAAAAUCUCAAAACUUUUAUAAGAGCAUUAAAAUGCAUUUUUGUUUGAUAUGUAUUUAUUCAAUAAAGUAUUUAAUUAGUGGUAAGUGUGAUCUGGACCCUGUUGCUAAGCCCCAGCAAGCAAGCAAUCAUACUAUUGUCUUAGUUAGGGUUAAACCCAGUAAAAUUUGCCAUAUUGCACAUGUCUUAAUGAAGUUUGAAUGUUCAAUAAAAUACUUCUAUAUUCACUUA
Molecule: RNA transcript, 2029 nt
Organism: Gallus gallus (chicken)
Lineage: Eukaryota; Metazoa; Chordata; Aves; Galliformes; Phasianidae
Gene: EIF4A2
Gene name: eukaryotic translation initiation factor 4A2
Exons: 12
Source: RefSeq, marked validated